CCAAAAUGUACUGCUUUUACUAAUGAAAGUGUAAUGCAAGAGUUUUAUUUCCACCUCUCCCACACAAUCCAAGAGUACAGUCAGAACACAGAGGAAGAAUUCGAUCACUACAGAAAAUUAACAUGCCAGGUGCUCCGAAGACUUGUUCUUUAUCCAUCAUUUUACAGAUACUUCUGAGGUCUCUGCAAACGUCAUUAAGCAGGUGCUUGUAAGUACUUCUGCAGACUAGAGAUGAAUACUGACACACUGCAGGUUAUGGCAAACAGGCCUGACAAGAAAAUGAAUAGUCAAUACAUACGUCAUGAAGUGCGAGGAUGUGAAACUAGCAACCUGAGAAACUUCUGGGAAAAGACGAUUGAACAACAAACUCGGUAUCUGCAAGUUGAAAAAGAACGUCAGCAAAGAAGUGCUCUGACAAAGCUCAGAAACGAAUGGAUGGAGAGGCUUGAAAAACGAAUAAAGAUGUUGAGGACCCAAACUGAAGACACAUCUAGUUGAAGAUCCCACACUCGCUGCAUGUAUGGGAAGAGAAUAAAAUUGUUUUGUGGGAGAGUAUGAGAGUGGGA
This 566-nucleotide long non-coding RNA is filed under the name Pavo cristatus (Indian peafowl). RNAcentral's name for it is "lncRNA (ENSPSTG00000007585.1)". The record is from RNAcentral. Lineage: Eukaryota; Metazoa; Chordata; Aves; Galliformes; Phasianidae.